Molecule: long non-coding RNA, 8579 nt
Organism: Orcinus orca (killer whale)
Lineage: Eukaryota; Metazoa; Chordata; Mammalia; Artiodactyla; Delphinidae
Exons: 2
Source: RefSeq, a predicted model, not a curated record
AAAUACAUACAUACAUAUAUACAUACGUACAAAACAAUAUAAUUUUUAACCCAAAGCUGUACAUACUCUUUUGCAGCCUGCUCAGUUGUGUCACUGAUCUCUACUUUUUCAGUACAUUUGCAUCUAAUCUAAUACCCUUAUCAUAUGCAGGUUUCCCCAGGUGAUCUAAACAAGUCCAUUAUUGCUGUUUGUCUAACCCAGUAUCCAAUCCAGAACAUCAUGUUGCACCUGGAUGUUUUGCCCCCCAAGUUUCUUUUAAUCUGGCACAGUGACUUGUUGAGGAGAUGGGCCAGCGUCCCACAGAAUACAUCCGCCUUCUGGGUUUCCUUUAGGUUUUCUCCAAGAGGCCAUCUGGCAGGUUCCUCUGUGUCCUUUAUUUGCUAUAAGCUGGAAGUUAGAUCUGGAGAAGAUGUGUCUUGAACUGGACAUAUUGUAUUUAGAGGUCUGAGACAAUAAAGAAUUCGCCAUAUCAUGUCCUAGCUGGUAGAGAAGCAGACAUAUGUAGGGGAUUGAGAUGUUUAUUUGUGAUCUUUAAGUCAAGAGAAGGACUGUGUAUGGAAGGUUGCCCAGGUUACUAACAGCCCUUCUCACUCGGGAUCCCUCUGUGGACAGUGCUGCAUAUAUAACAGGACUGAACACAUGGUAGACACUCUAGAUAUUGGUGUGUAGGUGAUAAAUAAACACCUGGUAGGUGGAAAAGAGAGCUGAGCAAUGGAGAGCUGCAAGGAGGAAGCCAAGUCUGGCCAUAGGGGAAAAAAAUGCUAAAAGGAGCCUUAAGGGGACUGGAUACACUAAAACUCCUAGAAGAAAACAUAGGCAGAACACUCUUUGACAUAAAUUGCAGCAAUAUUUUUUUGGACCCGUCUCCUAGAGUAAUAGAAAUAAAAACAAAAAUAAACAAAUGGGACCCAAUUAAAUUUAAAACCUUUUGCACAGCAAAGGAAACCACGAACAAAAUGAAACAACAACCUAUGGAAUGGGAGAAAAUAUUUGCAAACUAUGCGACCAACAAGGGAUUAAUUUCCAAAAUAUACAAACAGUUCAUACAGCUUAAUAUCAAAAAUCCAAACAACACAAUCAAAAAAUGGGCAGAAGAUCUAAAUAAACAUUUCUCCAAAGAAGACGUACAGAUGGCUAACAGGCACAUGAAAAGAUGCUCAGUAUCACUAAUUAUUAGAGAAAUGCAAAUCAAAACUACAAUGAGGUAUCACCUCACACCGGUCACAGUGGCCAUCAUCGAAAAGUCUAUAAAUAAUAAAUGCUGGAGAGGGUGUGGAGAAAAGGGGACCCUCCUACCCUGUUGGUGGGAAUGUAAAUUGAUGCACCCACUAUGUACAACAGUGUGGAGGUUCCCUAAAAACUAAAAAUAGGGUUACCAUAUGAUCCAGCAAUCCCACUCCUGGGCAUAUAUCUGGAGAAAACUCUAAUUCAAACUCUAAUUCAAAAAGAUACAUGCACCCCAAUGCUCAGAGCAGAGCUAUUUAUAAUAGCCAAGACAUGGAAGCAACCUAAAUGUCCCUCAAUUACUACUCAGAAUAUUAGCUGUAAAAAAUAAGGGCUUCCCUGGUGGCGCAGUGGUUGAGAAUCCGCCUGCCGAUGCAGGGGACACGGGUUCGUGCCCCGGUCCUGGAAGAUCCCACAUGCCGCGGAGCGGCUGGACCCGUGAGCCAUGGCCGCUGAGCCUGCGCGUCCGGAGCCUGUGCUCUGCAACGGGAGAGGCCACAACAGUGAGAGGCCCGUGUACCGCAAAAAAAAAUUAAAAUAAAAUAAUGCCAGCAACAUGGAUGAAUGAACCUAGAGAUUAUCAUAUUAAGUGAAAUAAGUCAGGCAGAGAAAGACAUAUCAUAUAAUAUCACUUAUGUAGCUUCUUUAAAAAAUGAUACAAGUGAACUUAUUUAUAAAACAGAAAUAGACUCACAGACAUAGAAAACAAACUUAUGGUUACCAAAGGGGAAAGAGGGGGAAGGGAUAAAUUAGGAGUUUGGGAUUAACAUAUAUACACUAUUAUAUAUAAAAUAUAAUAAAUAAACAACAAGGUCCUACUGUAUAGUAUAGGGAACUAUAUUCAAUAUCUUGUAAUAACCUAUAAUGGAAAAGAAUCUGAAAGAGAACAUAUAUAUAUGUAUAACUGAAUCACUUUGCUGUACACCUGAAACUAGCACAACUUUGUGAACCAACUAUACUUCAAUUAAAAAAGAAAAGAAAAAAAAUUGGGAUAAAAAGGAGUCUUAAGGGCCUUUGAUCCAGAAGGGAAACAUAUUGAAAUUCACAUGAAGCCAGUAAACAUGCAAGAAGAGAGUAAUCAAGGUUAGAUAAUAAAAGAAAGUCAGCUAGAUGGCAAUAUCCUGAAUACUGCAGAAAAGAGUACUACUCAAAAAAAAAUUGAACAAAUAAGGUUUUUUUUUCCCCUUAAACCUCAGGGGGAAAUAAAAUCUUAACUUUGCUGGGCAGUGAAGACAGGAAAAGAAUUAAUAUUUUUCUGCUCAUAUAUCUGUUUAUGCAACUCUGAUUUUCUUUUGGGCACCUCAAAAUUGAGUUGAAACUUUCUUUGACAAUAACACUGACUGAAAUUGCAGAGUUAGGGUACUUAAAAUGGAGCUAGCUUUUUGGAUUAAAAAAAAAAAAAGAACUGCGUGGAAAUCGGAGAGCCUUUGUUUAUACCUAUUUUAAAUUGCUUUACUCUCUUGAACAUAAUGUGUUGAACAACCUUUAAUUCCUUUAAAAGCGCAUCUGUUACAACACCUGAGCAAAUUUUAAAAUAAAAAUAGUUUAGUGAGAAAGAGGGAGAUUGAAUGAAUUAGUGAGGGUUGAAGGAGUAGUUCCAGGGGAAAAAAGAUAGAUAUGGAUUCUAAGGAUAGGAAGUUCUGUUGAUUUUGUGACAUUAGAAACAAUGACAAGUUCAUGUAAUAGGAAAUUUAAUUGCUUAGUUUGUAUAAUAUUUAUACACCUGGCAAAAAGGUAUAAAGGGCAAGAAGAAAAGCUAGAUUUUGGAUAGAGGAGACAAUAUAGAAGAAAUAAUACUGAAAGAGCAAACAUAACUCUUUUUAUGUCUUGAGCUCUAUGCUAAGCAUUUUUCACAUUACUUAUUUCAUUUAAUCUUCACAGUGACCACAUAAAAGAAGUACUGUGAUGAUCUUCAUUUUACAGGUUCAGAAGUUGAGACUCAGAGACGUUAAGUAACUUGCCCUAGGUCCCCGGCUGGUAGGAAGUGGAGUAUUGGGUUCAGACCUGCACAGUUCGGCUCCAGAACCUGUGUUUCUAAUCGCUCUACAGGCUGCCUUGUUGGGAUAUCAGAGAGUAAAGUACUAGCUUAGAAAAGUAAGAGGAGAAUGUGGAAAACUAAUGACGAAAAAAUCGGGUAGGACAGCUGGGCAGAGGGGAUGCAGAAGGACAUAAAGAUGAGAGUAAUUACCGUGCUGUAGAUAAUUGGAGGGUAACAACCUAAUAAAAUUAAACAGUAGGAGACAGCAGAAGCAAAAAAAUUGCUAUGAGAAAGGUGACCAGGAGCUCCUAAGUGAUGUAUUGCUGCAAGGAAACUGGCUUGAGCGUGCAGGGCACAACCUAGCAUAGCAGGCUUCAGCUAGAGUGGGGAAGGAUGUCCACCACCACCUCUCACCAGUAGGCAGGUGAUAGGUGCGCUGCGGGGUGAAGUCAGGCAUCUCCUUAGAAAGGUUGAUGAGAAGCGCUGGGCUGCAUCUGGGUAUUUCCUUCAAGUUAUUGUUAUACAGUCCAGGUAGCUGCCUCGAGGUGACAAGAUAGCUUAUUAAUAACUUGUGACUCCCCAGAAAUGGGUAAUUGGGAUAACUUAAAGACAUGAUAAUAGACAUGACUAUAGCUGUUAAUUACACUAUUUUCUUUACAAAAUGUUUGUAUUAAAAUAAUUGAAUUUUCCAAAUUAACUUUUAAUUUUUUAAAUGUGUAUAUAAUUUUGGUGUAAACUAUAAAGGAAUAUCAUGACUAGGCACAAAUGGGUACCUUCUUGCACUCAAUUCUUGUCAUUUACUACCUAAUAAACAUGUAAUAUUCUCUCAUUCCUAAACUACAGCUCUACUAGAAUUCUCUUUGUAAGACUCCCUGCACCACCUGGCAUAAUAGUAGUUAGGUAUGACCUCCUCUAAAAAUGAAUUUGCUUAGUGUUUGCUAUUAAACAGCAAAUUCUAGUCCCUAGAAUAGUAAUUCCAGUGGAUGUUUGCCAGCUCUCCUCUCCCUCUCUCCCUCUCUCCCUCUCUCCCUCUCUCCCUCUCUCCCUCUCUCCCUCUCUCCCUCUCUCCCUCUCUCCCUCUCUCCCUCUCUCUCUCUCACACACACACACACACACACACACACACAGACAAAACUCAUUUAUUCCCAAAUAGUUCUGUGGUCAAUUGAUUUGAGGAAAUCUGGAGUUAAAUAACAUGGGUUUCUUUACCACAGGAUUAAUCAGAUCCUCUCCUAUGCUGAUAUGCAUUUUAAGUCUCCAAGAGAGAGAGUAUAAUUUUCAUAUGUACCUGAUCCCAGAGCACUUUUUCUUGAAACAUCUGAUGGGACUAGUUCUGCUAGUUGGGGGCUGCUAGAAUUCAGUCACUUCCACUUACAUCCUCAACUUCCCCAAGGAACCAUGAAGCCUUUUAUUCAGGACAGCCUGCUCGUCUUUUUCUGAUUCAAAAUGCAGAACACUACCAUUUCCCUCCUGUUCAACUGGGAAGAACAAGGACAAAAUUCUGCCCUUAUACGCCAACUCCAUCAACUUCUACUCUGUGCCUGUUUGAAUAGUGAUCCAUUUGCUUCUCUCAACCUGCCCAGACACCUAGGUGGUUUCUAUUAAAAAUAAAGCUUUUUAGACAUACAGAUGGCCAAGAAGCACAUGAAAAGCUGCUCAGCAUCACUAAUUAUUAGAGAAAGGCAAAUUAAAACUACAAUGAGGUAUCACCUCACACCAGUUAGAAUGGGCAUCAUCAGAAAAUCUACAAACAACAAAUGCUGGAGAGGGUGUGGAGAAAAGGGAACCCUCUUGAACUAUUGGUGGGAAUGUAAAUUGAUACAGCCACUAUGGAGAACAGUAUGGAGGUUCUUUAAAAAUCUAAAAAUAGAAUUACCAUAUGACCCAGCAGUCCCACUACUGAGCAUAUACCCAGAGAAAACAGAAAACCAUAAUUCAAAAAGACACAUGCACCCCAAUAUUCAUUGCAGCACUAUUUACAAUAGCCAGGUCGUGGAAGCAACCUAAAUGUCCAUCGACAGAUGAAUAGAUAAGGAAGAUGUGGUACAUAUAUACAGUGGAAUAUUACUCAGCCAUAAAAAGGAACGAAAUUGUAUCAUUUGUAGAGACAUGGAUGGAUCUAGAAACUGUCAUACAGAGUGAAGUAAGUCAGAAAGAGAAAAACAAAUAUCGUAUAUUAAUGCAUAUAUGUGGAAUGUAGAAAAAGGGUAUAGAUGAACUGGUUUGCAAAGCAGAAAUAGAGACACAGAUGUAGAGAACAAACAUAUGGACACCAAGGGGGGAAAGUGGCGGGAGUGGUGGUGAUGAUGGAAUGAAUUGGGAGAUUGGGGUUAACAUAUAUACACUAAUAUGUAUAAAAUAGAUAACUAAUAAGAACCUGCUGUGUAAAAAAUAAAUAAAAUAAAAUUCAAAGAAAAAUAGUGGCCAUUUGUGGAUAGUCUUCUAUAGAUGUAUUUUCAUCUCACUAGAUGAGGUCAUUAGAGAAUCCCAGCCCCUCUUGGGAGGGAUGGAAUUCCAAGGCCAUGGCUCCAAACAUGCCUAAGGACACUGGACCAUCUUAAAAAUGAGGCAGCUUCGCAUAUGUAGGCCUGCAGAUGAUUCACUAUCAACUGUCUAGGGUGGCAGCUGGGUGUCCUACUGUGACUGCAAACUGGAUAGACUCAACAACUCUGCCAAAAAAAAAAAAAGUCUUACAUUGUGAGAUCUGGCUCACCCACGGAACCACUUCUGUAGUACUUUACAGAUUAUAAAACCUUUCGGUAUACAUAAUCUCAUUUCCUGUGCUCCUGAUGGUACUAUGAAGGCUGGAGCCUUGAGAACGUUAACAGAUGUCUGUGAACCUCAAAUGGACGCCUGUGUCUAACAAAGAGGGGUCGCGGUAGGGGGUGAGGCUCUGUCAAAAGUGUCACGGAGAGCAGGAAAUCUCUCUAAUGUAGAUUGGACACCGAGUGACCAGUAAAUAGGAGGGGAUCCUGUAGUCGGGAAACCUGGGAAGUUUCUAAGUUGGAAUGAGGAGGCAGUGGGGAAAUAGUUUUGCCUGAAUGUGAAGGGGAAACUUGAGGCUCUGGACAUACAUUCUACGAAGCUGGCAGAGCCGUGAGGUGGAGCUUCCUCAAGACUGGCAUUGGCUAGGAGGCAGCAUGUUAAAUGACCACAAGAGCCCAUUCUAUGGGUCAGGACCUACAUGGCAAAGCUAAACAUCCCAUCAUGAGCAUGGCAGCACUUCCCUGUGUGUAAUUUCGAUCCUGGGACUAGCACGCAUUCCGAGAAGCCAGCAGCGUGUGGGCCUCAGCUAUCAAAGAGGAAAAGGGGGAAAAAACCCGCAAUGGCAGGCGGGCACAACUACCGAAAGGAUCAUGGCAGUCAGGGAUCAGGAUCCCCCAGGAUGUUUCUGUUGAGAAUUGCCUUGUAUCAAACCCCCUUCCCUUCUCAACUGUCUCUGGCCUCUCAGAAUCCUGAUAUGGAACAAUGUUUUCUGAAGAAUUUAUGUGACUGCGAAUUGGAGGGUCCUGGGCGGGGGGGGGGGGGGGGGGGGGGGGAAGCAAAGAGUAACAACCCAGAUAAGGAUGCAAAGGAUGUAACUGAUGGAGAGCAGCUUUUAUGGGAUAUUAUGCAGCUGACAACAGGGCCAUUGAACUCAGCCUCUUAUCUAGACUUGUGAACUUGUGGAUGCACAUUUUAGCAUAUGUCAUAGCCUCCCAGCUAUUCCGAAAGUGGGUGUCUUCUAAGGGCAGGUAAUAGUUAACGAUGUUAAUUGCCAAGUUUUCUCGUUGCAGGCCUGGGGUUGAACACUGACACAAUUAUGGUGUGGGUUUAGAUGAGAAAGUUUCAAAAACAGAGCUCCCAAACUCAACCACUACCUUCAAGUAUGGUAUUUUAAAUCCAGGAGUCUCUUUACUGUUUUUAAUCACCAAAAAGAUGGGAUAUAGCUUGCAGGAAGGACUCUAGCUUGGUUAAUAUUACUGUUGUGAGAACUGAUAAAUAAGACUGAGCUAGAUUCCUCCGUAUUUUGAAAGUUAAAGGAAUCUGUCUACAAGCCCUUGUAGCUCAUCAGCAUAUACAGACCAUCACUGUGUUCUUUGGCCAUAAAUGCUCUGACGUGUCUGGGGCCAGUCUUCAGAAUAUGGGACAUUUGGGAUUAUUCUAACCCCUUGACAAUACAGAGGUAUACAAAUGCUAAGUUAUCGCUGUAGAAGUCAUUAGAGAGGCUUUCUAAAGUUUCUACUUGUGUUCUUUUUCCAUAGGUAUGUGGUGUCGUGGGAAAAAUUAAUGUAGAAAAAAAAGCUUCAUUUGUACCUUAAAGACUGUAAUAUUUAUUGACAGAUUUGUUUGACUAGAUGAGACUUACAUGAGGGGAAAAAAAUAAAACAGCUGCCUUCUAUAUAAAUUUUACCAAAUACCAGCAUGUAGUUUUUAUUUGACCAUCUUUGUGGUGAUAAACUGAAGCAUCGAGGCAAGAAGCAGUAAGUAAAAUGCUCAAAACGGAGCGCAGGUGUAAACACCCCUGGGUCUUAUAAAUCUCCCUGUAAAGCCCCUCAGAGCGUUUCUCUCUUUGCCCAGCCUCCCCGGAUCCCUUCAGUCUACACUACAUCGAUGAGCUGCCUGUUGGGUCACUGUCAGUGGCAGGGAGGCUUCUGCAAGCCACACCUGCCCCCUUCUCCCCCGGCAUUCCUGGCAGCCUCUGCUGCAGGUUGACUUAGGUAAGAUGAGGAAAGAGAACUAGGAAGCCAAGGGGCGGCCAGCCCUAGAGGAUGGAGGCAGGGUUGGCUGGCUGAGAUGCCCAGCUGUUAGUCAUCAGAGUCUCCGUCUCCAGCCCAAGGUAGCGCUGGCGGCGGGUACUGUGAGCGGCCAGGUGGGGAUCGGUGGGCAGAGGCCUAAUAAAUUUUCAUCAAGCAUUCCAAGGCUUUGAUCCACAGUGAGGAGUGGAUGGUGAUAGCAAUUUAUUACCAUAUGUCACUAGCGAUGUAAAUAACCAAAUAGAAAGAGUGGAGAGAAAAGAGAGUAAAUUUGCUACAUUUAGAAUUUUAUAGUUUUUUGUUUGGCUUUACAGAUCAUCCAAGAUCAAAGGGAUCAAAGUGUGGACUUGACUAAGUUAUGUGAAAUGUCAGGAAAUUAAUGCUAUAUUAAAACAGAUUAAUUUGAAAGGAGCAGAAGCUCUUGCGAGCCACAAAUACCAAAAACAGAAAACACUUGCUGUGAGUGGUAGAUUCUUAGGAAACUAAUUGUUCCUAUUAUGUCGUUCUUUUUUUUUAAUUAAUUAAUUUAUUUUUGCCGUGUUGGGUCUUCGUUUCUGUGCGAGGGCUUUCUCUAGUUGCGGCAAGCGGGGACCACUCUUCAUCGCAGUGCGUGGGCCUCUCACUAUCGCAGCCUCUCUUGU